This 254-nucleotide ribosomal RNA is filed under the name uncultured bacterium. RNAcentral's name for it is "partial 16S ribosomal RNA". It matches the Rfam family "Bacterial small subunit ribosomal RNA", at positions 524 to 776 of the family's 1533-position model. The record is from RNAcentral.
UACGUAGGGUGCGAGCGUUGUCCGGAAUUAUUGGGCGUAAAGAGCUCGUAGGCGGUGUGUCACGUCGGCCGUGAAAACCUGGGGCUUAACUCUGGGCGUGCGGUCGAUACGGGCAUCACUAGAGUUCGGCAGGGGAGACUGGAAUUCCUGGUGUAGCGGUGAAAUGCGCAGAUAUCAGGAGGAACACCGGUGGCGAAGGCGGGUCUCUGGGCCGAUACUGACGCUGAGGAGCGAAAGUGUGGGGAGCGAACAGG